Molecule: non-coding RNA, 2160 nt
Organism: Peromyscus maniculatus bairdii (prairie deer mouse)
Lineage: Eukaryota; Metazoa; Chordata; Mammalia; Rodentia; Cricetidae
Source: RefSeq, a predicted model, not a curated record
GGAAAAGGAAUGCACCUAGGUGCUGGCCUUUUAAUGUGAGUUCUCACAACUGGCUGUAAGGCCUGCAAGCACUUCACUGAUGGAGCUCCAAACUUCACAGAACACUCAAGAAGAUAAAUUAACACCAAGAAAUGAUUGUAAACUACAACCAUGGAUGUUUAAGAAUAUGGAAGAAUGAGAAACACUUACCUGAAGGAGAAACCAAGGGCCAAGUCAUUAGGAAUCAAGCAGCAAUCAUCAUUUCCCAAUCCAUGUGAGGAGGCAUGAAAAAGAGCAGAGAAGAAAAAGAAACAAAAUGAUUCACUUGUAUAUUCAGAGAGGCAUAAAAGCAUCUCUGUCUGCACUGAGCACAAGAUCUAUUGCCAUGUCCUCUGCUAGAGAGACUGUUGUAAAGUAAGCAGGACUCUAGAGCUGGGGAUGUGCCUUUACAAGCAGGAAAAGAGAAAGAGAGGUGCUUACAAAAUCCAGAUGAAUAUAACAGUAUAGCACUUGGGAACAAUAUUCUCAUCAGAAAAUCUUCUUGGCCCACUAGCCUGUGAAGACUUAAUUCCCUUUCCAUCAACAUUCCAGAAAGAAAUCAUGCCUACCCUGUCUCAGCCACAGGAGAAGGAAGGUGUCUGAACAGACUGGGGAGAAGAAGAGCCAGAGAGCAAGGAUUUAGAGAUUCCUAUGACUGUCAAUCACAACUAGGGAAGAGUCAAUCAUCAGAAACUCAUUCCUCAUUCAAGUGGAGAAAGAAAAUCAUGAAGAGGUACUCCUAUAGCUGAGUGCCAGUUCAGACCUGGAAGCCACAGUGACACUCGUCCACACAGACAGACAAAGUUGCCUACCUCUUAUCACAUCUUUGGCCACUCUUUAUUUUUUAAUCAAUUCUGUGACUACAAGGGGCUCACAAAAACUUCCAAGUGGAAAUAGCAGCAUGAGAAAAUACAUUGUCUUUUCCUUUCCUUUUAAAAGUAUGGGGUAAAAUUCAUCAUGUCUGUGAAUACAACAUGCCACAAAUAAAUCUAUAUUAGAAUAGCACUGCCAAUUUGAAGCCUUUCUACAAGUUCUAAAUACAGUCAACAAACAGUAUGCAGUCACAUCAAUUUUAUGUCUCCCCAGAAAAGCAAAUGAGUGUUACUAACCUUCAGCUUAACUGAGUCAAUGGUAAAAUUAAAAGUCCUUGAUCCUAAGAAAGAUUCCAAUCUCAGACAUGCAAAUUAUACUAUCUUUCAAAGAGAUAAAUGAAUCCAUUUGUUAGAUUUUGCUUAUUGUAUUUGAACAUUUCCUUAUUAUAAGUAGAAGUUGAUAAGAUAAAAUUGGCUAUAACACACGGCCAUGUAUAAAGCACCUUCAAGGAAACACCCGGUGGUAUUGUGUUUCAGUCUACCCAAGUGCAAGUGUCCUCAAAAUGUCAUCAACAAUAAACUGUAAAAGGCUUCACAUCUACUCAUUAAACAGCCUCCCUAAGGCACUGGCAUGCAAACAGAAAUUGGCUUCUCUCUAAAAUAAUAACUCUUACAAAUUCAGACAUAGACAGCAUUUUUUUUUUUACUAGACAUGAAAGUUUAUGCUUCGAGUCUUGUUUAUGUUAUAAUCAGUACAGGGGGUGGAACCAAAGAAAUCGCCUAGGUAAUUUCCAUAUUAAUGGAUUUAAUAUUUUCCUGUCCUACCCCAAGUGUCUGGCACACAUUUUAGAAUCUAGUUUAGAGAAUGUGUAUUUUGGAUGCCCUGGGGCUCUUUCGUUAGAUUCAACAAUGAUGAAUUUCAACAUUUCAUCAAAUGAUGAAACAAAAAGCAAACUUCUUGACACUGAGAAUGUCACAAUCAACAUCACACAAGUUACUCUGUGAAUUAGCUUUAUUCCCCCAAGUCAUAUACAUACAAACAACACUGAGUGGACAGGGAAGGUUGUGUUCAUCUAUGCAUAUGUGUGUGCACGUCUGUUUGUAUAAGACAAUGAAAGAAAGAGAGACAAUGAAUUUGAGAGGGAAAAGAGGGGAACAUAGCAGGGGUUAGAGAGAGGAAAGAGAAAGAGUAAAUGAUACGAGUAUGUUUUAAUUUAAAAAAAACAUUUUUUAAAUGGAUAAAUCACCUUAAUCAAAUAUUGACAAACAUAGUUACUGAGAUGUUUACUUUUUAUUGGCAUUUAGAUUUGUAUGACAAUUUGCCAAAUAA